Molecule: transfer RNA, 72 nt
Filed under: Marmota marmota marmota (Alpine marmot)
Lineage: Eukaryota; Metazoa; Chordata; Mammalia; Rodentia; Sciuridae
Also listed under: 1 other name
Rfam family: tRNA
About the family: Transfer RNA (tRNA) molecules are approximately 80 nucleotides in length. Their secondary structure includes four short double-helical elements and three loops (D, anti-codon, and T loops). Further hydrogen bonds mediate the characteristic L-shaped molecular structure. tRNAs have two regions of fundamental functional importance: the anti-codon, which is responsible for specific mRNA codon recognition, and the 3' end, to which the tRNAs corresponding amino acid is attached (by aminoacyl-tRNA synthetases). tRNAs cope with the degeneracy of the genetic code in two manners: having more than one tRNA (with a specific anti-codon) for a particular amino acid; and 'wobble' base-pairing, i.e. permitting non-standard base-pairing at the 3rd anti-codon position.
Source: Rfam by way of RNAcentral
UGAUGGGUAAUUCAGUGGUGGAGUGCCUGCCUAGCAUGCAUGUGGUCCUGGGCUCCAUUCCCAGCAAAACAA